RNAcentral lists this long non-coding RNA (493 nucleotides) under Cricetulus griseus (Chinese hamster). Its description in RNAcentral is "lncRNA (ENSCGRG00015033285.1)". The record is from RNAcentral. Lineage: Eukaryota; Metazoa; Chordata; Mammalia; Rodentia; Cricetidae.
CAGUGGCUUGCUCCUUCUCUCUGAUCUCUCAGCAUUUCUCUCUAUAUCUGACUCCAGGUUUUUAAUUACUUAGACCAAUUAAGAAGAUGCAGAGAUGGAAGAUGAAAUAUAGGAAUCCCAGUUAAAUAUCAAGUAAAUAUCAGUCUUGGCCACUUUCAACUUGACGUCUUCUUGAACCAGGGCCUGCUGCUUGAAUGUAGAAUGAAUAUCAGCAGUUCUUUCUAGCUUCAAAAUACAGUGUGUACACGCAGAUAUUUGUAAAUGUAGUAUUUAUUCUCAAUCUGUGUUUGUCCCUGGGGAGAUCUAUGAAGGCCUUGAAAGACUUGAUAAUCGUAACCCGAGACAAAGCCAAGAAGGAGCCUCGUGACUAAAAGAAGCUGCAGAGGUGCUUGGUCAGCAAAGAUCUCAAUGCAGAGGGAGUGAAAACUCCAGAACCUGCAGUCUGUGUGAGAGGGUGCACUUCAAGACCCAGCACUGCUGGAGGGAGAGAGAG